AUACGUAGGUGGCGAGCGUUGUCCGGAAUUAUUGGGCGUAAAGCGCGCGUAGGCGGGAUAUUAAGUCUCAUUUAAAAGUGCGGGGCUCAACCCCGUGAUGGGUGAGAAACUAAUAUUCUUGAGUGCCGGAGAGGAAAGCGGAAUUCCCAGUGUAGCGGUGAAAUGCGUAGAUAUUGGGAGGAACACCAGUGGCGAAGGCGGCUUUCUGGACGGUGUCUGACGCUGAGGCGCGAAAGCCAGGGGAGCGAACGGGAUUAGAUACCCCGGUAGUCCUGGCCGUAAACGAUGGGUACUAGGUGUAGGGGGUAUCGACCCCCCCUGUGCCGGAGUUAACGCAAUAAGUACCCCGCCUGGGGAGUACGGCCGCAAGGUUGA
Molecule: ribosomal RNA, 375 nt
Filed under: uncultured bacterium
Lineage: Bacteria
Description: bacterial SSU rRNA
Rfam family: Bacterial small subunit ribosomal RNA
Source: RNAcentral